CUACCCACCCCCAUAACCCAAAUUCAAUUAUUCUCCAAACCCUAAAUUCAUUCCACCCUCUCCUCCCUCACUCUUGUGCUAAAGCCUACAGUCGCUCUCUUCUCUUGCGCCACCGUCUCAACCCCUGAAAUCAUUUCACCCCUUCUCUCUUUCUCGAUCUUCGAUUUUGCUAUGUUGUGCGGUUGGUGCGGUGGUGCGGUGCUGGGGUGGUCUCAAGAAGCCUUUGUCAGAGAGAACCGUUGACGGCACCAUUGCCCUAUCUGUUGAUGCUGCUGAGCGUUCUUCUUUCUUGCUCCAUCGCGAUCUUCUUUUCUUUCUGCAUUUUGAUGGCUGAUGGUUUUUUGUACAAUUUAUUGUGUUGUGAUGUGGAUGUAGUGAUGCAGAGCUGUGGGUGGUGGUGGUGUAUGAUGACGAGAGAGUUUAUAACCAUUUAUUUCGGCGGCCAUGGUGUUGCAGGUGAUAGUGUUCAGUGAUGGUGCAAGCGAUGAUAGUGUUCGGCGUCGAUGCAUCGAUGGUGUAGAUGGCGGUGCUGGCAAUAGUCUUUAGCAAUGGUGGAGAUGGUAGUUGUGGUGGUCAGUUUGUUGUUUGUUUGAGA
Molecule: long non-coding RNA, 595 nt
Filed under: Olea europaea (common olive)
Lineage: Eukaryota; Viridiplantae; Streptophyta; Magnoliopsida; Lamiales; Oleaceae
Description: long non-coding RNA (OEUR_LNC011669)
Source: RNAcentral